CUUUUAGACUCACUAUGUGGACAAAAGGUUGGAUGGCAACUUGUGGCUUUUCUAUCAGCAACAAAUUGAGGAGGGAGAGCUUGCUGGAGUUUCUAUCAAGUGCUUUGGAAUGCCAUCCUGUUUGAAAAGGCACUUUGGUUGGAGUGACUUUUUGAAGAGGAGGAGCUAGAGUUUUGCAAGUCUUUAACUCUUCGGCAGGAACACCUGGAGUCGCUGCCUUUCAAAUGCUUGCUCAUAAGGUCCCUGGUAAAGGAUCUUGCAAAAUGAAACAAGAAAAGAUCUGAAGCAAUUUCAAGAAGAAUUGAAGAUGGAGAACAUAAAAGAGCUCCAAUAUCCUGUCCUGUUUGUGGACAAAAUGAUGGAGUCUGAAACUCAUUGAGAGACACCCUGUCUUGUCAUGGCCGUGUUGAUCCAUGGUAUACUUCAGACCUUCGGGGCUAAUAGUUUCUUAGCUCUUGCUAUGGGCAUACAAAUUAAAAUUUGCUCGAGUAGGAAAGCAAAGUAUACUUUCAUUUCAUGAUAUAUCAAAUCAAAGUUUAUUUUUGGGGGAAGAAUUGACUAAUGAGAACUGAUUUUGAAAGGUUCUGUGUUGUAAAAUUCAGCCUUUUGUCUGGAAAUAUGACUUGUGCCAGAUAAUAUUAUUUUUGUUUCAGAUUUGGUUGGAUGAAACCACUUUGGAAAGGACCGGAAGCAAGGUCUUGCCAAAAUCACUUUGGAAAUCAUUUUUGAGUGUAAAACGGUAAUUUUGGUAUGCCCUGAAUGUCAGAAGGCUUUUGGAGUUGGAAGUUUUAUGCAUCUUGGUGAUUAUAUUUUAUUUUUUUGCGAACACUCAUAGAAGGAUGUGGUUAUGCAAAUAAUGGGUUGUAUAUGAUUAAGCAGCCAUUGAAAAUAACUUCAAACAUUAGAAUUAUUUUGAAUCAUUUGUAUCAUGGCUUGAGUAGCUUCCCCUCUUAUUCUGACCCUUUUUUCACUUCUGAUAAUAUGUUGAUGCAUUGUCUCUUUUUUCUUCCAGUGACUGAGGUCCUCACUGUUGAGAAGGAUCUUCCUGGGGCUCGACACUCUUUCAGAGAUGUCCUGUGAAUCCUUAUCAUAGAUGCUGAGGGCUAUGCACUUAAGUCAUAUCUAUUGGGAGAGAGGUUGUUUUACUCUUGGUUGGCCGUUGGUUUUUGAUUAGGCAGAAUUAUGUUUAGAGUUGUCAUUUUGCCUAAGACAACAGGGGUUAUUUCCAUAUGGAUGUGAGCCGCUGGGACUCAAGCUGCGGUAUUCUAUAGAAUAUAUGGCACAGAAACAGAAAAGAAGAACUUUUCGGAAGUAAAACGAUGUUAUUCUCAAAUUUUGAUGUGCGUUACAGUGGAAGAAGGUGGACCUAUUUAUACUGUCAAGACUCUGAACGGAAGCAGAAGAGUGAAUGGGGGUUACAGAGGUUACAAGAGUUACAGCAGACUUUUAUUGGAAAUGGAAACAUUAUUCUUGCAACGGACGUAGGUAACGGAGGCGUUGGCGGUGCUCUAUUGUGGCCGCUAAAACGGUAGCUGCUGAAUGGUGCUCCUAUUCUGUUUCAAUAUACGACCAAUGAAUCUGAUUCUCAAUUGUCAAUAGACCUUAUAACAUUUAAUAUUUUAAUUAUAUUAUGGGAGACUUGGGUGUAAUUCUCCCUUUUGAUUAUCUUAAUUUAACAAGUACUUGCACCCAUUGUUUCUUUAAGCAUAAGGAUAAGUUUUGGAUUCAGGAAUACAUGGGAGUAGUUAUCGUAC
Molecule: long non-coding RNA, 1754 nt
Organism: Prosopis cineraria
Lineage: Eukaryota; Viridiplantae; Streptophyta; Magnoliopsida; Fabales; Fabaceae
Exons: 2
Source: RefSeq, a predicted model, not a curated record